Molecule: ribosomal RNA, 562 nt
Filed under: Curvularia geniculata
Lineage: Eukaryota; Fungi; Ascomycota; Dothideomycetes; Pleosporales; Pleosporaceae
Description: eukaryotic LSU rRNA
Rfam family: 5.8S ribosomal RNA (bases 192-345)
Source: RNAcentral
CGUAGGGGAACCUGCGGAGGGAUCAUUACACAAUACAAUAUGAAGGCUGUCCGCAGCUGGAGUAUUUUAUUACCCUUGUCUUUUGCGCACUUGUUGUUUCCUGGGCGGGUUCGCUCGCCACCAGGACCACCAAAUAAACCUUUUUUAUGCAGUUGCAAUCAGCGUCAGUACAAACAAUGUAAAUCAUUUACAACUUUCAACAACGGAUCUCUUGGUUCUGGCAUCGAUGAAGAACGCAGCGAAAUGCGAUACGUAGUGUGAAUUGCAGAAUUCAGUGAAUCAUCGAAUCUUUGAACGCACAUUGCGCCCUUUGGUAUUCCAAAGGGCAUGCCUGUUCGAGCGUCAUUUGUACCCUCAAGCUUUGCUUGGUGUUGGGCGUUUUUGUCUUUGGUCGCCCAAAGACUCGCCUUAAAGUGAUUGGCAGCCGGCCUUUCUGGUUUCGCAGCGCAGCACAUUUUUGCGCUUGCCAUCAGCAAAACGGCAAUCCAUCAAGCCUCCUUCUCACGUUUGACCUCGGAUCAGGUAGGGAUACCCGCUGAACUUAAGCAUAUCAAUAGCCGGA